CGGCCGCUGGGCGAGGUGGCGCUGGUGCCGGUCGCGACGGCGGGUCCGCGGGAGGCCGCGCCGGCCGUCCCGGCCUCCGCCGGGGCGGG
This 89-nucleotide transfer RNA is filed under the name Streptomyces omiyaensis. RNAcentral's name for it is "tRNA-Ala". Lineage: Bacteria; Bacillati; Actinomycetota; Actinomycetes; Kitasatosporales; Streptomycetaceae. The record is from RNAcentral.